UUUUUCUUUCCUCUUUCUUCUUCUGCUUCUCCCCCGUUCUUCAUCUGCCGAUGAUUGUGAGAAUUAAACGAGGGUUUUGAGUUCGAAUCAAGAGUAGAAAGAUUAUGGAAGGGUCGCUGGUAGUGAUGACUGUGGUUUGUUAGGUUCUGAGUUAAGAAAAAUGACGAAUUAGAGAAGAUUGAGUUAGGGUUUCUGAGUUUGAUUCUGAGAUGAAUUUGGUUCUGAGAAAUCGAUUAAGGAUGAACAAUAAGAAGUUAGAAGACGGGUUUACUUUUAAUUGGUGUUUGAUGGAAGUUAUGAAGUUGUCCCGUGAAGCUUCAACGAAUUAGGGUUUCUGUUGGGUUGAGAUUUAAUUUUAAUGAACCAAGAGAAAUUGGAAGAGGCUGUUAAUUGGGUUAGUCUCUAUGUUGCUUAAAUUUCAGUGUUUGAAGUUUAAUUUUGGUUCCUUAGGAAUUCUGAUUUUCAUAUGUUCUUCCCCAAACUAAGAACUAGGGUUUCAUAAGAAUUACAAAGAGGAAUUUGAAGAUGAAAUUGAUAUUAUAGAAGGGUGAUGAAGGAUGGGUUUAGCCUGAAUUGGAGUUGAAGUUGAAGAAUAGCUUGGAAUUGGCAGUUAGGGUUCGAUUCUGUUUUAAAGAAGAUUUGGGAAUUAAGUUGAGAAGUGUUAAUGAUGAUGGGAUUGUGGUGUAUUUGAUGAACUAUAUUGGUGGGUUGUUGUAACCCUAAGAAGAAUCGCAGUACCCAUUUAAGCAAGAAGAGUAGGGUUGGUUUUGGCAGAUGGCAGUGGUCUUGGUAUGAGUUCUCUUUUGAUCCAAGAGAAGAAAGAAUCUGUCUCCAAUUGCUUGUGUAUGAUUAUUAUGAGGUAAUUGUUCUUCCAAUCUGUUUAGUGAUGUUAUUUACUGUUAUUGAUUGAGUAUGUGUAUUUAAUGAUUGAGCUAAGUUCCGAGAUGGGUGUUUAUUGAAGUUUGGAUGUAAAUAAAUGGAACUGUUAUGUUUGAAGCUUGUUUGUGGUUAUGGAUAUGAACUGUAUGAGCCGUUGCAGGUGAAGUUGUUAGUGGCUCAUGUAAAGAAUAAAGAUCUCAGAGUUUAGAAUAUGGUUAUGAUGGAAUGAAAUUUAGUCUCAGCUGAAGUUGAUUGUACUGGAAUGUGAUAUGUUGGUAGAGUUACAGAUGGUGUUAGUUUGUCGAAUGCACGAGGUUGUAUUUGCAGUUCAGGUCGCAAGUGUUGGUGCAGGUCAUGUAAGGUGGAAUUAGCAAUGGAACGGAGUUCGUGUUAGACUGCGUGGAUGUGAAGUUGAGUUGUGCUCAACUGACAUUAGUGGAACUGUUGUAGCUUGUGAUGAUGAAUGAAAGUUUAAGAACCGCGGUGAAUAUUUGAAUGUUCAGGUGGUGGAUUAAUUUGUUUGAAGUAACUGAUAUUGCUUGUGGUGAUAGGGUUUGUUUGUGCUAAGGUUGGAAUUCAGUUUGUAGUGGAGUGUAGUCAGAUAGGAAUUGUAGUUGAGGGUUUGAGUGUUGUUUGAGUUGAGCUGAUCUGAGUUUGGCGCUGUAAGUGCAGUUAGCGUAAUAACAACGAUCGAUUCAAAGGAUAAACCAGUGGAUAUCGGAUCUUGAGGUAGGCGAGGCAUACCAUCAAAAGAGUGUCAAAUCAGAGUUGCGCAGCGAAAGCUCUGAGAAGUUGACUUCGUUAGUUGGUUAUGUUCUGAUAUGUUUAUUAUGUUGUAUAUUCUAUUUUUAAACAAAAUGACUAUUGAAUAUGUAUCACUUGAGAGAAGUUCUUAUAUAUAUUUCAGAGCGG
Papaver somniferum (opium poppy) is the source of this 1791-nucleotide long non-coding RNA. RefSeq lists it as uncharacterized. Lineage: Eukaryota; Viridiplantae; Streptophyta; Magnoliopsida; Ranunculales; Papaveraceae. The transcript is spliced from 3 exons. The record is from RefSeq and is a predicted model, not a curated record.